RNAcentral lists this ribosomal RNA (508 nucleotides) under uncultured bacterium. Its description in RNAcentral is "partial 16S ribosomal RNA". It matches the Rfam family "Bacterial small subunit ribosomal RNA", at positions 28 to 507 of the family's 1533-position model. The record is from RNAcentral.
GACGAACGCUGGCGGCGUGCCUAAUACAUGCAAGUCGAACGCUUCUUUCCUCCCGAGUGCUUGCACUCAAUUGGAAAGAGGAGUGGCGGACGGGGGAGUAGCACGUGGGUAACCUACCCAUCAGAGGGGGAUGACACUUGGAAACAGGUGCUAAUACCGCAUAACAGUUUAUGCCGCAUGGCAUAAGAGUGAAAGGCGCUUUCGGGUGUCGCUGAUGGAUGGACCCGCGGUGCAUUAGCUAGUUGGUGAGGUAACGGCUCACCAAGGCCACGAUGCAUAGCCGACCGGAGAGGGUGAUCGGCCACACUGGAACUGAGACACGGCCCAGACUCCUACGGGAGGCAGCAGUAGGGAAUCUUCGGCAAUGGACGAAAGUCUGACCGAGCAACGCCGCGUGAGUGAAGAAGGUUUUCGGAUCGUAAAACUCUGUUGUUAGAGAAGAACAAGGACGUUAGUAACUGAACGUCCCCUGACGGUAUCUAACCAGAAAGCCACGGCUAACUACGUG